AGAACGAACGCCGGCGGCAGGCCUCAAACAUGCAAGUCUAGGGGGUGUAGCAAUACAUCACCGGCGGACGGGUGCGUAACGCGUGGGAAUGUACCUAUUGGUUCGGAACAACUGAGGGAAACUUCAGCGUAAUACCGGAUGAGCCCGAAAGGGGAAAGAUUUCUCGCCAAUAGAUCAGCCCGCGUCCGAUUAGCUAGUUGGUGGGGUUAAAGCCUACCAAGGCGACGAUCGGUAGCUGUUCUGAGAGGAAGAUCAGCCACACUGGGACUGAGACACGGCCCAGACUCCUACGGGAGGCAGCAGUUGGGAAUCUUGGACAAUGGGGGAAACCCUGAUCCAGCCAUGCCGCGUGAGUGAUGAAGGCCUUCGGGUUGUAAAACUCUUUCGGACGGGGACGAUAAUGACGGUACCGUAGAAGAAGCUCCGGCUAACUUCGCGCCAGCAGCCGC
RNAcentral lists this ribosomal RNA (449 nucleotides) under uncultured bacterium. Its description in RNAcentral is "SSU rRNA". It matches the Rfam family "Bacterial small subunit ribosomal RNA", at positions 26 to 518 of the family's 1533-position model. The record is from RNAcentral.